UACGUAGGGGGCAAGCGUUGUCCGGAUUUAUUGGGCGUAAAGAGCGUGUAGGCGGCCACACAGGUCUGCUGUGAAAACUCGAGGCUCAACCUCGAGCUGUCGGUGGAAACCGUGUGGCUAGAGUCCGGAAGAGGAGUGUGGAAUUCCCGGUGUAGCGGUGAAAUGCGCAGAUAUCGGGAAGAACACCCGUGGCGAAGGCGGCACUCUGGGACGGUACUGACGCUGAGACGCGAAAGCGUGGGGAGCGAACAGG
RNAcentral lists this ribosomal RNA (253 nucleotides) under uncultured bacterium. RNAcentral describes it as "partial 16S ribosomal RNA". It matches the Rfam family "Bacterial small subunit ribosomal RNA", at positions 524 to 776 of the family's 1533-position model. The record is from RNAcentral.